Molecule: ribosomal RNA, 774 nt
Filed under: uncultured Neocallimastigales
Lineage: Eukaryota; Fungi; Neocallimastigomycota; Neocallimastigomycetes; Neocallimastigales
Description: partial large subunit ribosomal RNA
Rfam family: Eukaryotic large subunit ribosomal RNA
Source: RNAcentral
GUACACGCUGUACUAGCAUAUCAAUAAGCGGAGGAAAAGAAACUAACAAGGAUUCCCCUAGUAACGGCGAGUGAAGCGGGAAGAGCUCAAAUUUGAAAUCUUAAAGGGUUUCCCUUUACGAAUUGUAGUUUAAAGAAGUGUUUUCCUGUUGAGGUUUUGGUAAAAGUUCUUUGGAAUAGGACGUCAUAGAGGGUGAGAAUCCCGUAUUUGACCUUUACUUUCAACUUUGUGAUACACUUUCAAAGAGUCGGAUUGUUUGGGAAUGCAGUCCAAAAUGGGUGGUAAAUUUCAUCUAAAGCUAAAUAUUGGCGAGAGACCGAUAGCGAACAAGUACCGUGAGGGAAAGAUGAAAAGAACUUUGAAAAGAGAGUUAAACAGUACGUGAAAUUGUCAAAAGGGAAGCGUUUGACACCAGUGUUGUUUUUCUGAAAAUCAAUUAAAGAACUGUUUAUGCUAAGCUGUUUAGACUUUAUCAGCUAACUGUUUAGUUUUGAGCUUUUCUUUAAUGCACUUUUCAGUUAACAAGUCAACAUCAAUUUCUUUUGCUGUAAAAAAGCUUGAGGAAGGUGGCUUGAGAUUCGUCUUAAGUGUUUAUAGCCUCUUGCCUAUGCAGUCGGAGAGAUUGAGGUCUGCAGCGUAGAUCCUUCGGGGCUAAAUGCAUUUGUGCUAAGUUAUAGCAUUUCAUAGACAACUUGUUGACUAUGAUUUGUCUUGUAGCUUACUCGCUUAUGUUAUUUUACCUACGCUUAGGAUGUUGACGCGCGUGUGUGCGUG